UAGGAUUCCCUCAGUAGCGGCGAGCGAACAGGGAGGAGCCCAGCACCGAAUCCCGCGCCCCCCAAAGGACGCCGGGAAAUGUGGUGUUAGGGAGGGUCCGUUAUCCUGCGAACGUGCGACGCGUCCAAGUCCUUCUUGAACGGGGCCAAUACCCACAGAGGGUGCCAGGCCCGUARAGACCGUUGCCGAUCGCGGGAGGAUCUCUCCUCAGAGUCGGGUUGCUUGAGAGUGCAGCCCUAAGUGGGUGGUAAACUCCAUCUAAGGCUAAAUAUUACCACGAGACCGAUAGCGAACAAGUACCGUGAGGGAAAGUUGAAAAGAACUUUGAAGAGAGAGUUCAAUAGUACGUGAAACCGUUCAGGGGUAAACCUGAGAAACCCGAAAGGUCGAAAGGGGAGAUUCAGCGCAUCUCGCGGACGGCGACGGACGGUCGUGCGACGGACGGUGCGCUCGCGCACCGACCGCGCCCUCCAUUCGACGAACCGAACGCGAACGCGUGCACUUCUCCCCGAGUAGGACGUCGCGAUCCGUUGGGUGUCGGUCUAAGGGUCGCGGUGGAGCUCUCGAAUGGUGCCCGUCAAAAGGUACGAUUUGAGAACCCGCGUUUCCCGACCGGCUCGCCCGACGGUGUACGAAUGGCGCUGGGCCGCGCUCACACAAUGCGCGUCCGAACCGUGGCAAGCGCGCUCGCGGCGUCGGUGAUCGGACCCCGUGCCGGUCCCGGCCCCGAGUGGCUGUUGGCCACGGUCCUCUCGGACAGACCCAGUUGUAACGCCGAUCGGCGACGCAAUAGCGUUGGGUACUUUCAGGGCCCGUCUUGAAACACGGACCAAGGAGUCUAGCAUGUGCGCGAGUCAUUGGGAAUUACUAAACCUAAAGGCGCAAUGAAAGUGUAGGUUCGUCUAGAGCGGACCGAGGGAGGAUGCGUGACACGUUAAAAACGUUCGCGUCGCACUCCCGGGGCGUCUCAUUCUCAUUGCGAGAAGAGGCGCACCAAGAGCGUACACGCUGGGACCCGAAAGAUGGUGAACUAUGCCUGGUCAGGACGAAGUCAGGGGAAACCCUGAUGGAGGUCCGUAGCGAUUCUGACGUGCAAAUCGAUCGUCGGAACUGGGUAUAGGGGCGAAAGACUAAUCGAAUCAUCUAGUAGCUGGUUCCCUCCGAAGUUUCCCUCAGGAUAGCUGGCGCUCAUUGCGCAAGAGUUUCAUCUGGUAAAGCGAAUGAUUAGAGGCAUUGGGGUCGAAACGGCCUCAACCUAUUCUCAAACUUUAAAUGGGUGAGAUCUCCGGCUUGCUCGAACUAAGAAGCCGCGAGACUCGAAUCAGAG
RNAcentral lists this ribosomal RNA (1327 nucleotides) under Tychogenius sp. DDM1307. Its description in RNAcentral is "eukaryotic LSU rRNA". It matches the Rfam family "Eukaryotic large subunit ribosomal RNA", at positions 70 to 1119 of the family's 3401-position model. Lineage: Eukaryota; Metazoa; Arthropoda; Insecta; Coleoptera; Pterogeniidae. The record is from RNAcentral.